Molecule: long non-coding RNA, 500 nt
Organism: Neoarius graeffei (lesser salmon catfish)
Lineage: Eukaryota; Metazoa; Chordata; Actinopteri; Siluriformes; Ariidae
Exons: 3
Source: RefSeq, a predicted model, not a curated record
AGCUUGAUAACUUCAGCUGGUCAACCAGAACAUUUCUGUAGCUAGCUAUCUGUAUGUAAUGUAGCUACUGAAUGGAUGUUUAAUUCAUCUUUCCAUUGGAACAAGGUCAUACACUUCUGAUCUUCAAUGACCAGGAUUCCCAUUCCUGCAGGAUCAUGCCACUUUGCAGGGAGAAAAAUGGCAGACAUCCAGGCCUAAGAUCCAUGCGUAAUCUGCUUGCAGUCAGAGUGUCACAUUCCACUGACUGCUGGAUAAAUGGCACGAUCAAAGCCUCGGCCGACAUCAUGUCUGAGGUCCAGCUUGGAUUGGGCAAUCCUAAUAAGUGCAGAGAUGGAAGCAAUGUAUGUGGCUCUAAAGUCAAGGAAGCAUCCGGACCAGAUAAAAAAGCCAAGACAUACAGGCUUCAAAAGGACCACAAGAUAGAUCUGCUCACAGAGUUUGAAACAAUGAAACAACCAAACAAAUAAAUAAAUGGUGGGAGCCAAGGAGGGAAGCAUUAG